Molecule: ribosomal RNA, 493 nt
Filed under: uncultured bacterium
Lineage: Bacteria
Description: partial 16S ribosomal RNA
Rfam family: Bacterial small subunit ribosomal RNA
Source: RNAcentral
AGUGAACGCUGGCGGCAUGCUUUACACAUGCAAGUCGAACGGUAACAGGUUAAGCUGACGAGUGGCGAACGGGUGAGUAAUGCAUCGGAACGUGCCCGAUCGUGGGGGAUAACGCAGCGAAAGCUGCGCUAAUACCGCAUACGAUCUGAGGAUGAAAGCGGGGGACCGUAAGGCCUCGCGCGAUCGGAGCGGCCGAUGUCAGAUUAGGUAGUUGGGGGGGUAAAGGCUCACCAAGCCGACGAUCUGUAGCUGGUCUGAGAGGACGACCAGCCACACGGGGACUGAGACACGGCCCAGACUCCUACGGGAGGCAGCAGUGGGGAAUUUUGGACAAUGGGCGAAAGCCUGAUCCAGCAGUGCCGCGUGCAGGAAGAAGGCCUUCGGGUUGUAAACUGCUUUUGUACGGAGCGAAAAGGCUCUCUCUAAUACAGGGGGCUCAUGACGGUACCGUAAGAAUAAGCACCGGCUAACUACGUGCCAGCAGCCGCCGUAA